Molecule: ribosomal RNA, 598 nt
Filed under: uncultured bacterium
Lineage: Bacteria
Description: bacterial SSU rRNA
Rfam family: Bacterial small subunit ribosomal RNA
Source: RNAcentral
CCUACGGGAGGCAGCAGUGGGGAAUCUUGCACAAUGGGCGAAAGCCUGAUGCAGCAACGCCGCGUGCGGGAAGAAGGCCCUAGGGUUGUAAACCGCUUUCAGUAGGGAAGAAAAUGACGGUACCUACAGAAGAAGGUGCGGCCAACUACGUGCCAGCAGCCGCGGUGACACGUAGGCACCAAGCGUUAUCCGGAUUUAUUGGGCGUAAAGAGCUCGUAGGCGGUUCGGUAAGUCGGGUGUGAAAACUCUGGGCUCAACCCAGAGAGGCCACCCGAUACUGCUGUGACUAGAGUGCGGUAGGGGAGCGGGGAAUUCCUGGUGUAGCGGUGAAAUGCGCAGAUAUCAGGAGGAACACCAGCGGCGAAGGCGCCGCUCUGGGCCGUAACUGACGCUGAGGAGCGAAAGCAUGGGUAGCAAACAGGAUUAGAUACCCUGGUAGUCCAUGCCGUAAACGUUGGGCACUAGGUGUGGGUCUCAACCAACGAGAUCCGCGCCGUCGCUAACGCAUUAAGUGCCCCGCCUGGGGGAGGUACGGUCGCAGAACUAAACUUAAAGUAAGUAGACGCGNGAGACGNGCCGACGACGACGACGAGGAGAG